Molecule: ribosomal RNA, 121 nt
Filed under: Trichogramma chilonis
Lineage: Eukaryota; Metazoa; Arthropoda; Insecta; Hymenoptera; Trichogrammatidae
Description: partial 28S ribosomal RNA
Source: RNAcentral
UUGUUGUUGUUGUUGUUGUUGUGUAUCAACAACAGCAGCAGCAGCAGCAGAAAAAUGGCUAGCUCGAACAAGAACGAGUCUCUUUUCUCGAUCGACGACCUCAAGCAACAGGAAAAACAAA